Molecule: ribosomal RNA, 585 nt
Filed under: Pseudomonas sp. StFRB407
Lineage: Bacteria; Pseudomonadati; Pseudomonadota; Gammaproteobacteria; Pseudomonadales; Pseudomonadaceae
Description: bacterial SSU rRNA
Rfam family: Bacterial small subunit ribosomal RNA
Source: RNAcentral
ACGGGUGAGUAAUGCCUAGGAAUCUGCCUGGUAGUGGGGGAUAACGCUCGGAAACGGACGCUAAUACCGCAUACGUCCUACGGGAGAAAGCAGGGGACCUUCGGGCCUUGCGCUAUCAGAUGAGCCUAGGUCGGAUUAGCUAGUUGGUGAGGUAAUGGCUCACCAAGGCGACGAUCCGUAACUGGUCUGAGAGGAUGAUCAGUCACACUGGAACUGAGACACGGUCCAGACUCCUACGGGAGGCAGCAGUGGGGAAUAUUGGACAAUGGGCGAAAGCCUGAUCCAGCCAUGCCGCGUGUGUGAAGAAGGUCUUCGGAUUGUAAAGCACUUUAAGUUGGGAGGAAGGGUUGUAACCUAAUACGUUGCAAUCUUGACGUUACCGACAGAAUAAGCACCGGCUAACUCUGUGCCAGCAGCCGCGGUAAUACAGAGGGUGCAAGCGUUAAUCGGAAUUACUGGGCGUAAAGCGCGCGUAGGUGGUUCGUUAAGUUGGAUGUGAAAUCCCCGGGCUCAACCUGGGAACUGCAUUCAAAACUGACGAGCUAGAGUAUGGUAGAGGGUGGUGGAAUUUCCUGUGUAGCGGUG